RNAcentral lists this long non-coding RNA (482 nucleotides) under Corvus moneduloides (New Caledonian crow). RNAcentral's name for it is "lncRNA (ENSCMUG00000018187.1)". Lineage: Eukaryota; Metazoa; Chordata; Aves; Passeriformes; Corvidae. The record is from RNAcentral.
GCCAGCCUGUGCGGCGAGCCCAGCCUGGUGCUCUUGGAGACCGGGAGAUGCAAGAAAAUGAGUCUGGAAGAAAAUUGGUGAAUCCAAUCCAGAGGACGUACAAGCACUCUGACAGGCUCAGAGAGCAGAGUCUGUACCAAAGAGCAAUUACCCCACCAAACGAUUUCAGGACAGAAAGAGCUUUCCUGAACAUUGAAAGAUGCAAGAAGGAGUCUUAAUCGAUGAUCUGUUAUUUCAUCUGAUAGUGGAAACUGGUCCCUGAACACUUUUGCAACAAGAAUAGGUAAUAGUGGAUGAUUUUGUUAAAACACCUUUUUAAUAAUGACAGUAAUAGAUGUAUUUCAAUAAAUUCUGUUUUAGUUCUAAAUGUAUUUCUGCUAAUGUUUGCUUACUAUUAGCUACGAAAUGGGUUUGUGCUGUUCUUUCCCUGAGGAGGUUAAAGUUUAAAUGAAAGCAGUUACACUGUAUCUGUUGGCCAUUUG